This 449-nucleotide long non-coding RNA is filed under the name Numida meleagris (helmeted guineafowl). Its description in RNAcentral is "lncRNA (ENSNMEG00000013795.1)". The record is from RNAcentral. Lineage: Eukaryota; Metazoa; Chordata; Aves; Galliformes; Numididae.
GGAAGGUGCAUGUUGUUGUGGUCUGGGAUGCUGCCAGGUAGCUCUAGGUCAAGAUCCACUGCAAGAUGCUAUGUGCUUGUAUGGGUACUUUCCUGCUGGACUGAGAGGAUGUUGCUGCCAGACAAGCAUGGCAUAGCAGCCUGUUCAUGCCCAUUGGGAAAUCACAAUGAUUGGAUUCAGCACCCAGCAGGUACUGGGGCUCUGUGUGCUCCCCAUCCAGUGCAAGGCUCCGUGCGCCCCAUGUCGCUGCUCUGCCUUCAGUGCAGAUGCAGCUCUGGCUCAUUUGUGCUCGCUGAGCACCCGUGGGUGCAAUGCUGUGCACCCAAGGGUUGCUGCUGCAUGGUGUGGAGCCUGAGGGCUGCUUCCCCUGCAGAGGGAGGUGCUCCUUGCCUUAUGCUCUGCAAGGAGGGGAAGUGGGAAGGAUUUAAGGUACCUCAAAGAAGAACCGG